GUAUUCCGCUCCAUAGCGUAUAUUAAAGUUGUUGCAGUUAAAAAGCUCGUAGUUGAAUUUCGGAAUCGACGGAUUGGUCGCGCCUUCGGUGUGUACUGGUCUUGCCGGUUUCUCCCUUCUGACGAACCACGAUGUCAUUAAUUUGGUGUCGUGGGGAAUCAGGACUGUUACUUUGAAAAAAUUAGAGUGUUUAAAGCAGGCAUUAGCUUGAAUACAUUAGCAUGGAAUAAUGAAAUAGGACGUUUGAUCUUAUUUUGUUGGUUUCUAGGAUCGACGUAAUGAUUAAUAGGGAUAGUUGGGGGCAUUAGUAUUCAAUUGUCAGAGGUGAAAUUCUUGGAUUUAUUGAAGACUAACUACUGCGAAAGCAUUUGCCAAGGAUGUUUUCAUUAAUCAAGAACGAAAGUUAGGGGAUCGAAGACGAUCAGAUACCGUCGUAGUCUUAACCAUAAACUAUGCCGACUAGGGAUCGGAUGAUGUUAAUUUUUUAAUGACUCAUUCGGCACCUUACGGGAAAAC
This 516-nucleotide ribosomal RNA is filed under the name uncultured Glomus. RNAcentral describes it as "SSU rRNA". It matches the Rfam family "Eukaryotic small subunit ribosomal RNA", at positions 579 to 1099 of the family's 1831-position model. Lineage: Eukaryota; Fungi; Glomeromycota; Glomeromycetes; Glomerales; Glomeraceae. The record is from RNAcentral.